This 201-nucleotide long non-coding RNA is filed under the name Elaeis guineensis (African oil palm). RNAcentral's name for it is "long non-coding RNA (EGUI_LNC040160)". The record is from RNAcentral. Lineage: Eukaryota; Viridiplantae; Streptophyta; Magnoliopsida; Arecales; Arecaceae.
UGGCGGAACUCGACAGGUUCUUGUUCUCACCGGAUUGGGAUGAUCUUUUCCCUUAUGCCAUUUAGAUUGCACUCCCCAAACCAUGUUCUAACCACACCCCUAUUGAGCUCUCGUUUGCUACUCCAAGAACCUAGAGACCAUUCAGAUUUGAUCGAAUUUGGCUUAGGCAAAAUGACCUUGUAGAGGUAGUUGCCUGUCUGU